UAGGGAAUAUUGGACAAUGGGUGAGAGCCUGAUCCAGCCAUGCCGCGUGCAGGAAGAAGGCGUUAUGCGUUGUAAACUGCUUUUUGCCAGGGGAUAAAAUGACCGUGCGCGGUUAAUUGAAGGUACCUGGUGAAUAAGCCACGGCUAACUACGUGCCAGCAGCCGCGGUAAUACGUAGGUGGCAAGCGUUGUCCGGAUUUAUUGGGUUUAAAGGGUGCGUAGGUGGCCCUGUAAGUCAGUGGUGAAAUAUCUCAGCUUAACUGAGAGGGUGCCAUUGAUACUGCAGGGCUUGAGUACAGAUGAGGUAGGCGGAAUUGACGGUGUAGCGGUGAAAUGCAUAGAUAUCGUCAAGAACAUCGAUAGCGAAGGCAGCUUACCAAGCUGUAACUGACACUGAGGCACGAAAGUGUGGGGAUCAAACAGGAUUAGAUACCCAAGUAGUCCCUGAGCGGGCUGGCAAGGCG
Molecule: ribosomal RNA, 464 nt
Filed under: uncultured bacterium
Lineage: Bacteria
Description: bacterial SSU rRNA
Rfam family: Bacterial small subunit ribosomal RNA
Source: RNAcentral